Molecule: non-coding RNA, 220 nt
Filed under: pig gut metagenome
Source: RNAcentral
AAAUCUUGUCUAGUGAAGGUCUAACCAACCAACUAGUAGCGAGUCUUGUGCUUGUAAUAGUAAUAUUGCAAGUAAAGCGUAGACAGCAAGGAAGCAGGGUUAAAAGGCAGUUCAGCUCCGAAAUGUUGUCUUAAAUUGAAAGGCAGAUGUAUUAAUUGUUGCAGAAUGCAAUAUUCAAAUAAUCGUUAUGGUAAGAGUAUUUGAACUUUCACGGGGUCAA